Sapajus apella (tufted capuchin) is the source of this 2270-nucleotide RNA transcript. It is a transcript of the gene named adenosylhomocysteinase-like, with no coding region annotated. The record is from RefSeq and is a predicted model, not a curated record. The transcript has a single exon. NCBI's taxonomy places the organism in Eukaryota, Metazoa, Chordata, Mammalia, Primates, Cebidae.
UGUUAUAUAAUUACAAAAAUUAGAAAAACCUAAAUAGUUAACAACAAAGGAUUAGUUGAGUACUCUGUGCUCUAUGAUGUUUCUGUGUAGAAAUACUAUACAUCUAUAAAAAAUGAUACCUGCCCAGUACUGCCUGCCCGCCACUGCCCAUCCAAUGCCUGUCCCCAGACUGAGGCCCAACCCCCUUGCCCUUAUCCAUCAAAGGCAUCGCCAGCAUGUCUGACAAACUGCCCUACAAAGUUGGUGACAUUGGCCUGGACACCUGGGGACACAAGGCCCUGGACAUUGAGAAUGAGAUGCCGGCCCUGGUGGCCCUGUGGGAGCUGUACUUGCCCUCCAGUACACUGAAGAGCGCCCGCAUUGCUGGCUGCCUGCAAAUGACUGUGGAGAUGGCCAACCUCAUUGAGACUCUCAUCUCCCUGGAUGUUCAGGAGCAGUGGUCUAAUUGCAACAUCUUCUCCAUCCAGGACCAUGCAGCAGCUGCCUUUGCCAAGGCUGGCACGCCAGUGUUCACCUGGAAGGGCAAAAUGAAUGAGGAGUACCCGUGGUGCAUUGAACAGACACUGUACUUAAAGGAUGGACCCUUCAACAUGAUUCUGGAUGAUGGGGGUGACCUUACUAACCUCGUCCACACCAAGUACCCACAGCUUAUGUCGGGCGUCUGAGGCAUCUCUUAGGAAUACCACAACCAGGGUCCACAACCUGUACAAGAUCAUGGCCAAUGGAAUCCUGAAGGUGCUUGCCAUCAACAUCACUGACUCUGUCACCAAGAGCAAAAUUUCACAGCCUCUGUGGCUGCCAGGAGUCCCUCACUGAUGAAUAACAUCAAGUGGGCCAAGACGUGAUGAUUGCCAGCCAGGUAGCAGUGGUAGCAGGCUAUGGUGAUGUGGGCGGGGCCUGUGCCCAGGCCCUGUGGGGUUUUGGGGCCCACAUCAUCAUCACCGAGACUGACCCUGUCAGUGCACUGCAGGCUCCCAUGGAAGGCUAUGAGGUGACCACCACAGACGAGGCCUGUCAAGAGGGCAACAUCUUUGUCACCACCACAGCCUGUCGACAUCAUCCUUAGCCAGCACUUUGAGCAGAUGAAGGAUGAUGUCAUCGUGUAUAACACUGGAUGCUUUGACAUGGAGAUCAGUGUCAGGUGGCUCAACAAGAAUGUUGUGGAGAAGUUGAACAUCAAGCCCCAGGUGGACCAGUGCUGGCAGAAGAAUGGGUGCCACAUUGUCCUGCUGGCUGAGGGUUGGCUGGUCAGCCUGGGUUGUGUCAUGGGCUGCCCCAGCUUCGUGGUGAGUAACUCCUUCAUCAACCAGGUGAUGGUGCAGAUUAAGCUGUGAACCCACUCAGACAAGUACCCCAUUGGGGUUCACUUCCUGCCCAAGAAGCUGCAUGACGCAGUGGCUGAAGCUCCCCUGGGCAAGCUGAAUGUGAAAUUGACCAAGCUGACUGAGAAGCAAGCCCAAUAGCUGGGCAUGUCCCGUGAUGGCCCCUUCAAGCCAGAUCAUUACUGCUGCUGAGAGCCAGGCCUGCCCUUCACCUGCCAGCUGCUGUCUUUGUUCAGGCCCUGCCUCUCCUCCCUAAAAGUGAAUGGCACCAAUUUUGCGAUUUGUUUGUUGGUGUCCCCCAUCGACUUCCUGGGGCUGGUCACUCAGUUUUUGGCCUCUGCAGCAUCCCUCACACUGUGUCAAGUGUGGCAGGGGGAAUUGAGAGGCCCCUCCUCAAGCCCUGGUCGUGAUGGAGAUACAAGGGAGGCAUCCACAGGGAAUCAUGAGCUGAGUGGUCUUGGAAUUGCUCAGUAAGUCAGUCCUUCCUAAGUUUGGAAGUUGGUAGUGGAGUCACAAAGCCCGUGUACCUUACCUUUCAGGUAAACUUCCUGGUCUGUGGACUUAGAUUUGUGUGCUUGGUUUACAGGGUCAGUGGUUCCUCAGCCCAUGACAGAUGAGAAGGAGCUAUAUUGAAGGGCAAAGAGGAACUGUGGUUUGAAUUUUCUUGAGAGCCUGGCUUAGGGCUGGGCUUUCUCUUAAACCUCAUAACAAUGAGGUUGGUACUUUUAGUCCCUGUUUAUAGGGGUUAGAAUAGACUGUUAAGGGAUAACUGAGAAAGGACAGAGAAGUGACAGCCAGAGGGGCCAUAAAAACAUAAAAGCAGGCAUAGAUCAGCUACCACUUUGUAACAAGAUGGUUCCUGUCACAACCCUGGGUCAAAAAGAGAAUGAUUUGGUUUAUAAUGUUAAAAGAAAGUGGGAAGGUGAGUAAAUAAAAACUUUGGUGCCU